This 102-nucleotide ribosomal RNA is filed under the name fungal endophyte. RNAcentral's name for it is "5.8S ribosomal RNA". It matches the Rfam family "5.8S ribosomal RNA", at positions 1 to 95 of the family's 154-position model. Rfam says of the family: 5.8S ribosomal RNA (5.8S rRNA) is a component of the large subunit of the eukaryotic ribosome. It is transcribed by RNA polymerase I as part of the 45S precursor that also contains 18S and 28S rRNA. Functionally, it is thought that 5.8S rRNA may be involved in ribosome translocation. The record is from RNAcentral. Lineage: Eukaryota; Fungi.
UCGUUACAAUCUUCAACAAUGGAUCUCUUGGCUCUGGCAUCGAUGAAGAACGCAGCGAAAUGCGAUAAGUAGUGUGAAUUGCAGAAUCCAGUGAAUCAUCGA